AGAGUUUGAUCCUGGCUCAGAUUGAACGCUGGCGGCAGGCCUAACACAUGCAAGUCGAGCGGAAACGAUCCUAGCUUGCUAGGAGGCGUCGAGCGGCGGACGGGUGAGUAACGCAUAGGAAUCUGCCCGAUAGUGGGGGAUAACCUGAGGAAACUCAGGCUAAUACCGCAUACGUCCUACGGGAGAAAGCAGGGGCUCUUCGGACCUUGCGCUAUCGGAUGAGCUUAUGUCGGAUUAGCUGGUUGGUGAGGUAAUAGCUCACCAAGGCGACGAUCCGUAGCUGGUCUGAGAGGAUGAUCAGCCACAUCGGGACUGAGACACGGCCCGAACUCCUACGGGAGGCAGCAGUGGGGAAUAUUGGACAAUGGGGGCAACCCUGAUCCAGCCAUGCCGCGUGUGUGAAGAAGGCCCUCGGGUUGUAAAGCACUUUCAGUGAGGAAGAAUGCUUGUCGGUUAAUACCCGGCAAGGGAGACAUCACUCACAGAAGAAGCACCGGCUAACUCCGUGCCAGCAGCCGCGGUAAUACGGAGGGUGCGAGCGUUAAUCGGAAUUACUGGGCGUAAAGCGCGCGUAGGCGGCUUGAUAAGCCGGUUGUGAAAGCCCCGGGCUCAACCUGGGAAUGGCAUCCGGAACUGUCAGGCUAGAGUGCAGGAGAGGAAGGUAGAAUUCCCGGUGUAGCGGUGAAAUGCGUAGAGAUCGGGAGGAAUACCAGUGGCGAAGGCGGCCUUCUGGACUGACACUGACGCUGAGGUGCGAAAGCGUGGGUAGCAAACAGGAUUAGAUACCCUGGUAGUCCACGCCGUAAACGAUGUCGACUAGCCGUUGGGGUCCUUGAGACCUUUGUGGCGCAGUUAACGCACUAAGUCGACCGCCUGGGGAGUACGGCCGCAAGGUUAAAACUCAAAUGAAUUGACGGGGGCCCGCACAAGCGGUGGAGCAUGUGGU
Molecule: ribosomal RNA, 946 nt
Filed under: uncultured bacterium
Lineage: Bacteria
Description: bacterial SSU rRNA
Rfam family: Bacterial small subunit ribosomal RNA
Source: RNAcentral